This 435-nucleotide ribosomal RNA is filed under the name uncultured bacterium. RNAcentral describes it as "partial 16S ribosomal RNA". It matches the Rfam family "Bacterial small subunit ribosomal RNA", at positions 29 to 507 of the family's 1533-position model. The record is from RNAcentral.
AGCGAACGCUGGCGGCAGGCUUAACACAUGCAAGUCGAGCGGGCAUCUUCGGAUGUCAGCGGCAGACGGGUGAGUAACACGUGGGAACGUACCCUUCGGUUCGGAACAACUCUGGGAAACUGGAGCUAAUACCGGAUACGCCCUUAUGGGGAAAGGUUUACUGCCGAAGGAUCGGCCCGCGUCUGAUUUGCUAGUUGGUGGGGUAACGGCCUACCAAGGCGACGAUCAGUAGCUGGUCUGAGAGGAUGAUCAGCCACACUGGGACUGAGACACGGCCCAGACUCCUACGGGAGGCAGCAGUGGGGAAUAUUGGACAAUGGGCGCAAGCCUGAUCCAGCCAUGCCGCGUGAGUGAUGAAGGCCUUAGGGUUGUAAAGCUCUUUUGUCCGGGACGAUAAUGACGGUACCGGAAGAAUAAGCCCCGGCUAACUUCGUG